Stachybotrys chartarum IBT 40288 is the source of this 101-nucleotide non-coding RNA. NCBI's taxonomy places the organism in Eukaryota, Fungi, Ascomycota, Sordariomycetes, Hypocreales, Stachybotryaceae. The record is from Rfam.
GCUCGGAUAGCUCAGCGGUAGAGCGGCAGAUUGCAGCUGAGGUGCGACAGCACCAACAAUCAGUCAUCUGAUGGUCCCUGGUUCAAUCCCGGGUUCGAGCU